Callorhinus ursinus (northern fur seal) is the source of this 384-nucleotide non-coding RNA. NCBI's taxonomy places the organism in Eukaryota, Metazoa, Chordata, Mammalia, Carnivora, Otariidae. The record is from RefSeq and is a predicted model, not a curated record.
CUCACAACCUGUGUUCUAGAUUGAGUGACUGCUACUUGCUGUGAGACUUCAGAAAACAGGGGUUAAGCAUCUGAAAGGCCAGAAUGAAUCAGCAUUCCCUGAAGAAGAAGAAGGUGUAAACGAAAGAGAGGAGCAGUGGGAACAUUAAUUACGGGUCUGCAGCAAGAAGGCUUCUUGGGAAUAACUGAACUAUUAACUUUUCUGAAUAUCCCAUGGAAGGCCACUCCUUGAUUGACCUCCAGAAGCAUUCUCCACCUCUGCUCUCUACACUCAUACAGUAGUAAUACACCUCCUGGGAAGCUCUCCUUGACUGAACUUUAGAACCAAGUACAGAUUGUUCUAUAUUACUUACAAUUAAAGAAUAAACAUUUAUUUUAUGGUGAA